GUGAGUCAUCGAAUCUUUGAACGCACAUUGCGCCCGCCAGUAUUCUGGCGGGCAUGCCUGUUCGAGCGUCAUUUCAACCCUCAAGCCCGGCUUGGUGUUGGGGUUCUGUUUGUUCAAAACAGGCCCUGAAAUACAGUGGCGAGCUCACCUGGACUCCGAGCGUAGUAAUUAACGUCGCUCAGGGUGUCCGGUGGGUUUCUGCCGUAAAACCUCUCUAUUUCACAGAAAGGUUGACCUCGGAUCAGGUAGGAAUACCCGCUGAACUUAAGCAUAUCAAUAAGCGGAGGA
Molecule: unclassified non-coding RNA, 288 nt
Filed under: Humicola sp.
Lineage: Eukaryota; Fungi; Ascomycota; Sordariomycetes; Sordariales; Chaetomiaceae
Description: partial contains 5.8S ribosomal RNA, internal transcribed spacer 2, and large subunit ribosomal RNA
Rfam family: 5.8S ribosomal RNA (bases 1-71)
Source: RNAcentral